AUAAUGAUACUUCCGUACAGCCUUAGUCCGUGUGAUGAUGUAGCACCGCUGGCAAAGGGUACGGCUGGAUGAGAACCAUGCAGGGGUGAGAUUCCCAUGA
The sequence is a regulatory RNA element, 100 nucleotides long. It matches the Rfam family "pemK RNA". The record is from Rfam.